AGGAGGGGAGGGAGUACCUGAUGAGGAGUGUGGAUUCGUGGCUACCUGCCCUGAAACAGUGACGCUCCACCCAGCAGAGAGGACAUAGAGGAGGAACACACACAGAGUGACAUCCCACCGUAUGAAUCUCGCAUCACCACGGCCAAACUCCUCAUAGAGGCAGAAGAGUACGAGCAGUAGAUGUGUUGGAGGGUCUACUAGAGGAAGAUGAUGAGGUUGUGCAG
Long non-coding RNA from Salvelinus namaycush (lake trout), 224 nucleotides. RefSeq lists it as uncharacterized. NCBI's taxonomy places the organism in Eukaryota, Metazoa, Chordata, Actinopteri, Salmoniformes, Salmonidae. The record is from RefSeq and is a predicted model, not a curated record. The transcript is spliced from 3 exons.